AUUAAGUUAGACUAAACCUAAGUCAUGAGAUUCAUAAUCUUAAGAUAUAUCUUAAUU
Molecule: transfer RNA, 57 nt
Filed under: Thaumamermis cosgrovei
Lineage: Eukaryota; Metazoa; Nematoda; Enoplea; Mermithida; Mermithidae
Description: tRNA-Met
Source: RNAcentral